CAGUAGCCGCGGUAAUACGAAGGGUGCAAGCGUUAAUCGGAAUUACUGAGCGUAAAGCGUGCGUAGGCGGUUUGUUAAGUCUGUCGUGAAAGCCCUGGGCUCAACCUGGGAAUUGCGAUGGAUACUGGGCGACUAGAGUGCGGUAGAGGAUAGUGGAAUUUCCGGUGUAGCAGUGAAAUGCGUAGAGAUCGGAAGGAACAUCUGUGGCGAAGGCGACUAUCUGGGCCAACACUGACACUGAGACACGAAAGCGUGGGGAGCAAACAGGAUUAGAUACCCCAGUAGUCCCUGUCUCUUAUAC
Molecule: ribosomal RNA, 301 nt
Filed under: uncultured bacterium
Lineage: Bacteria
Description: partial 16S ribosomal RNA
Rfam family: Bacterial small subunit ribosomal RNA
Source: RNAcentral